ACCAAGAAAAGAAUUUUUUAUACUUAUAAAAUGAAGUUUACUUUUUAGUAAGAAGGCUAAAAUAAAACUUAAAGACGAGAAGACCCUAUAAAACUUUAAUAUUAUAAUUUUAUUAAGAGAGAAGAUAGUAUUUUGCUGGGGCGGCAGAGGAAUUGACUUUUUCUAAGAAGAAAGGAAAACCUAGAUAACCAGAAUUUUUGAAAAAGGAAUAAGUUACUUUAGGGAUAACAGCUUUAUUUACUUUGAAAGUUCUAAUUGACAAGUAAGUUUGAGACCUCGAUGUUGAAUUAAAAUUCCUUUGUUUGUGUAAAAGUUUCAAAAGGGGGUCUGUUCGACCUUUGAAUUUUUCCA
Molecule: ribosomal RNA, 351 nt
Filed under: Hottentotta trilineatus
Lineage: Eukaryota; Metazoa; Arthropoda; Arachnida; Scorpiones; Buthidae
Description: partial large subunit ribosomal RNA
Rfam family: Bacterial large subunit ribosomal RNA (bases 74-351)
Source: RNAcentral